RNAcentral lists this unclassified non-coding RNA (312 nucleotides) under uncultured fungus. RNAcentral describes it as "partial contains 5.8S rRNA and ITS2". The record is from RNAcentral. Lineage: Eukaryota; Fungi.
UAAAGUUUUACACUAGUUACUUGACACCCUGGUCGAUGCGCAAACUAGAAAAAUGUAGCAGGUCUAAAACUUUGCCUUAAAUCGUAUAUUUGGAUAGAGCCAUCAGAACAACCAGUUAGUAUUUACUCACCUUUUUGAAAAUAUUAGAUAGACGUGGCUGAAACUUUCUGACCUUUAGGGUGCCAUUUACCAUCUAUGAUUACUGCAACAUGGACUUUAGUAUUUACCAUGUCAUGCAGAUACAUAUCUCCCCGAACUGUCGUUUAUUUCUUUACCCCUUCGAAGGAAUAUAUUCUAGCCUGAUUGUUUGGA